AUUGAGCGCUGGCGGCAGGCUUAACACAUGCAAGUCGAGCGGAGAUGAGGUGCUUGCACCUUAUCUUAGCGGCGGACGGGUGAGUAAUGCUUAGGAACCUGCCUAUUAGUGGGGGACAACAUUCCGAAAGGAAUGCUAAUACCGCAUACGUCCUACGGGAGAAAGCAGGGGAUCUUCGGACCUUGCGCUAAUAGAUGAGCCUAAGUCGGAUUAGCUAGUUGGUGGGGUAAAGGCCUACCAAGGCGACGAUCUGUAGCGGGUCUGAGAGGAUGAUCCGCCACACUGGGACUGAGACACGGCCCAGACUCCUACGGGAGGCAGCAGUGGGGAAUAUUGGACAAUGGGGGGAACCCUGAUCCAGCCAUGCCGCGUGUGUGAAGAAGGCCUUAUGGUUGUAAAGCACUUUAAGCGAGGAGGAGGCUACUGAGACUAAUACUCUUGGACAGUGGACGUUACUCGCAGAAUAAGCACCGGCUAACUCUGUGCCAGCCGCCGCAGUAA
This 501-nucleotide ribosomal RNA is filed under the name uncultured bacterium. RNAcentral describes it as "partial 16S ribosomal RNA". It matches the Rfam family "Bacterial small subunit ribosomal RNA", at positions 30 to 523 of the family's 1533-position model. The record is from RNAcentral.